RNAcentral lists this non-coding RNA (57 nucleotides) under Helianthus annuus (common sunflower). The record is from RNAcentral. Lineage: Eukaryota; Viridiplantae; Streptophyta; Magnoliopsida; Asterales; Asteraceae.
AACUGGUCGAGAGAUGGCGCCACUCUCCUGAUGAGUCCAAGCAGGACGAAACCAGUG